GACGAAGGUGGCGAGCGUUGUUCGGAAUCACUGGGCAUAAAGCGCACGUAGGCGGCUAGGUAAGUCGGAUGUGAAAUACCUCGGCUCAACCGAGGAACUGCGUCCGAUACUGCCUGGCUUGAGGUCCGGAGGGGAGAGUGGAAUUCCCGGUGGAGCGGUGAAAUGCGUAGAGAUCGGGAAGAACGCCGGCGGCGAAAGCGACUCUCUGGUCGGAAUCUGACGCUGAGGUGCGAAAGCUAGGGGAGCAAACGGG
This 253-nucleotide ribosomal RNA is filed under the name uncultured bacterium. Its description in RNAcentral is "partial 16S ribosomal RNA". It matches the Rfam family "Bacterial small subunit ribosomal RNA", at positions 524 to 776 of the family's 1533-position model. The record is from RNAcentral.